GUGUGUGUGUGUGUGUGUGUGUGUGUGUGUGUGUGUGUGUGUGUGCUAUAAGCUGAUGUUUGUGUACUGAUUGAAUGUGUAUCUGUGUGUUUACAGUCUGGAUCAUGUAGGAGACAUGAGGAUUACCGCAGGACCACGCAAAUGUAGGACUACACACACACACACACACACACAUACGCUCCCUCUCUCUCUCACAUACACACAACACACGCUCUCUCACACACACACACGCUCUCUCUCACAUUCACACACACACGCGCUCUCACACACACACGCGCGCUCUCUCUCUCUCACACACACACACACACACACACACACACACAC
RNAcentral lists this microRNA precursor (324 nucleotides) under Trypanosoma vivax Y486. Lineage: Eukaryota; Euglenozoa; Kinetoplastea; Trypanosomatida; Trypanosomatidae. The record is from RNAcentral.